Molecule: long non-coding RNA, 1911 nt
Organism: Gordionus sp. m RMFG-2023
Lineage: Eukaryota; Metazoa; Nematomorpha; Gordioida; Chordodea; Parachordodidae
Exons: 3
Source: RefSeq, a predicted model, not a curated record
UUUGACGUCCAUGUCGUCGAAGGAGAGAAAACUAUUUACCGGAUGUUUUAUCCAGAUCUGGUGCCGGGGAAGAUUUCGGGGAGAAAGGACAAGAGGAAUUUGAGGAAGAAAAUGAGCAAGGACUAAUUGGCGGGCCAGUGACAUGGGAAGAAAUUAAAAGGGUGACUUUAAAAGAACGAGAAUUGAGACGAGUCAAAGCGUGCCUUAAGGGACGGAAACCGUGGCAAGAUGGAGACAAGACUUUUAAAUAUAUAUGCAAAAGGAGUUGGCAAUAAUAGAUGAAUUGCGAGGAAGUCGGAGUGUCAUACCGUCCAAGUUAAGGUAAGCAGUAAUAGCGAUGAUUCAUGCUGGGCAUCAAGGAAUGGAGUGGAUGAAACAAUGGGGACGGUGGGUGGCCGAAAACAACUCAGCCUUGGGAACGCAUUCACUUGGACUUUUUCGACUUCGAGAAUAAAAAAUAUAUAUAUAUAUACAGGUGGUAGAUUAUGAGGAAAAGGAUUAACAAUUCAAGUAGUAAUAAAAAUAUUGAAAAAUCUAUGGGCCAAAUGUGGGGUCGCUAUGAUGGUAGUAUCGGAUGGAGGUCCUACUUUUAUUAAUAAACAAUUCAAAGCCUUUUGUGUGGAAACUGGAGCGAAACACAUCUUAGCGCCGCCGUAUCAUCCGAGUUCAAAUGGACAAGCGGAGAGGAUGGUUGUGGUCAAGAACUGGUUGAGUAAGUCAAAGGAUGGGGGCGGAGAGAUGUGGGUAGCAGUGGCGUAUUAUAACAAAAGUCAAAAAAAAAGAGGAGGAGCCAUACCCAUCGGAAAAGUUUUUAGGACGAAGAACUAGAAUUUAGUUGGAUUCGCCGAAACCGACAAGUCAGGGAAAGAAACGGUUCGAGACCGAGAAUGAGGCGAAAUUAACGGUAGGGCAAGCAGUAUGGGCGAGAAUAUUUGGAAGUAACCGGAAAUGGGAGCCCGGGGUGAUUUUGGAAUAUAUGGGAAGUUGCCGACGGAAAACAGGGAUCAGCUCCGCAGACGGAUCGAGCCCGAAACGUCUGCAGGGAUUGCAAGAUAAAGGAAAUACCGGCGCAUAUGUUUUCGAUGUGGAAAAGAGGGACAUUUGAUGGAUAAAUGUCCGCAAAGGCCAACUGCAGCGGUGAACGAACGGAGCAUGAUCGGAGGCCCAGCUUUGGACAAAGGAACAAUGGCCAGACAGCAGGGAACGUCGAGUAUACGAGAGUGGACACCAAUAUGGACGCGAGAUGACCUAGGCGGGAAGUGGAAGUUGGGGGCAACCGGUGAAGAUGAAUGAUGACCAUAAUCCGAAAGACUGGGACACGGACACCGACAUCUUGACGGCAGAUAUGAAACCUGAAAGCGUGGAAUCAGUCGAAAAUUUAGAGGCGACUUAUCUUAUCCGACGGCUGCUCGUAAAAAGUUAAUAUUCCAUCCACCCUCGAACCAGUGGGCCUCUCAAACGAAAUCGCCAUAGCCCUGAUGGCAUAUCUCUCAUUCCCUGUGGACUAAUAAUCUCCCCCUAGCUUGGGACUAAACCUGUGUCGAUUUUGCCGCCAAGUCCAACCUCUCAUUUUCUGCCAUCGAAAAGGCCGAAAUCCUAAAAAAAACAAAUAUGCUUGCCUCACUAAUACUGUGUUCAUCCCAAUCGUUACCAAUACCCUAGGCACGUUCGGGUGAUGCUCUCAAUUUCAUCAAAACUAUAGGAAAAAAAUGAGGCAGAUCUCAGGGGAACCCAAUGAAGGAUUUUACCUUCAAUUUUUUAAGCAUUCACUCUUCUCUAGGGUGAUUUGUACCCUUUUUUUAAAUUUUAUUAUUUUUUUUAUCUCAUUUCUCUUUUAUGCGUACAUAUUUUUUAAUUCAUUUUUAAUAUAUUAUUAGUUAUUUUUAUGUAUAUUUUUUUUAAUUAUAAUUC